UGUCGGGUAAGUUCCGACCUGCACGAAUGGCGUAAUGAUGGCCAGGCUGUCUCCACCCGAGACUCAGUGAAAUUGAACUCGCUGUGAAGAUGCAGUGUACCCGCGGCAAGACGGAAAGACCCCGUGAACCUUUACUAUAGCUUGACACUGAACAUUGAGCCUUGAUGUGUAGGAUAGGUGGGAGGCUUUGAAGCGUGGACGCCAGUCUGCGUGGAGCCGACCUUGAAAUACCACCCUUUAAUGUUUGAUGUUCUAACGUGGACCCGUUACCCGGGUUGCGGACAGUGUCUGGUGGGUAGUUUGACUGGGGCGGUCUCCUCCUAAAGAGUAACGGAGGAGCACGAAGGUUGGCUAAUCCUGGUCGGACAUCAGGAGGUUAGUGCAAUGGCAUAAGCCAGCUUGACUGCGAGCGUGACGGCGCGAGCAGGUGCGAAAGCAGGUCAUAGUGAUCCGGUGGUUCUGAAUGGAAGGGCCAUCGCUCAACGGAUAAAAGGUACUCCGGGGAUAACAGGCUGAUACCGCCCAAGAGUUCAUAUCGACGGCGGUGUUUGGCACCUCGAUGUCGGCUCAUCACAUCCUGGGGCUGAAGUAGGUCCCAAGGGUAUGGCUGUUCGCCAUUUAAAGUGGUACGCGAGCUGGGUUUAGAACGUCGUGAGACAGUUCGGUCCCUAUCUGCCGUGGGCGCUGGAGAACUGAGGGGGGCUGCUCCUAGUACGAGAGGACCGGAGUGGACGCAUCACUGGUGUUCGGGUUGUCAUGCCAAUGGCACUGCCCGGUAGCUAAAUGCGGAAGAGAUAAGUGCUGAAAGCAUCUAAGCACGAAACUUGCCCCGA
RNAcentral lists this ribosomal RNA (833 nucleotides) under Salmonella enterica. RNAcentral's name for it is "partial 23S ribosomal RNA". It matches the Rfam family "Bacterial large subunit ribosomal RNA", at positions 1970 to 2802 of the family's 2925-position model. The record is from RNAcentral. Lineage: Bacteria; Pseudomonadati; Pseudomonadota; Gammaproteobacteria; Enterobacterales; Enterobacteriaceae.